RNAcentral lists this ribosomal RNA (119 nucleotides) under Pteropus vampyrus (large flying fox). The record is from RNAcentral. Lineage: Eukaryota; Metazoa; Chordata; Mammalia; Chiroptera; Pteropodidae.
GUCUACAGCCACGCCAUCCUGAAUAUGCCCUAUCUCGUCUGAUCUCAGAAGCUAAGCAGGGUUGAGCCUGGUUAGCACUUGGAUGGGAGACUACCUAGGAAUACCAGGUGCUAUAGGCA